RNAcentral lists this ribosomal RNA (286 nucleotides) under uncultured Methylomirabilota bacterium. RNAcentral's name for it is "uncultured candidate division NC10 bacterium partial 16S ribosomal RNA". It matches the Rfam family "Bacterial small subunit ribosomal RNA", at positions 1060 to 1345 of the family's 1533-position model. Lineage: Bacteria; Methylomirabilota (SeqCode). The record is from RNAcentral.
UCGUGUCGUGAGAUGUUGGGUUAAGUCCCGCAACGAGCGCAACCCUCACCCCUUGUUGCCAUCAGGUGAUGCUGGGCACUCUAGGGGAACUGCCCCGGUCAACGGGGAGGAAGGCGGGGAUGACGUCAAGUCAUCAUGCCCCUUACGCCCUGGGCUACACACGUGCUACAAUGGCCGGUACAAAGGGAUGCAAUACCGCGAGGUGGAGCUAAACCCAAAAAGCCGGUCUAAGUUCAGAUUGGAGUCUGCAACUCGACUCCAUGAAGGAGGAAUCGCUAGUAAUCGC